RNAcentral lists this ribosomal RNA (460 nucleotides) under uncultured bacterium. Its description in RNAcentral is "partial 16S ribosomal RNA". It matches the Rfam family "Bacterial small subunit ribosomal RNA", at positions 338 to 795 of the family's 1533-position model. The record is from RNAcentral.
CCUACGGGAGGCAGCAGUGAGGAAUAUUGGUCAAUGGACGAGAGUCUGAACCAGCCAAGUAGCGUGAAGGAUGACUGCCCUAUGGGUUGUAAACUUCUUUUAUAUGGGAAUAAAAUGUUCCACGUGUGGGAUUUUGUAUGUACCAUUUGAAUAAGGAUCGGCUAACUCCGUGCCAGCAGCCGCGGUAAUACGGAGGAUCCGAGCGUUAUCCGGAUUUAUUGGGUUUAAAGGGAGCGUAGGUGGAUUGUUAAGUCAGUUGUGAAAGUUUGCGGCUCAACCGUAAAAUUGCAGUUGAAACUGGCAGUCUUGAGUACAGUAGAGGUGGGCGGAAUUCGUGGUGUAGCGGUGAAAUGCUUAGAUAUCACGAAGAACUCCGAUUACGAAGGCAGUUCACUGGACUGCAACUGACACUGAGGCUCGAAAGUGUGGGUAUCAAACAGGAUUAGAUACCCCAGUAGUC